GAUGGACGCUGGCGGCGUGCUUAACACAUGCAAGUCGAACGGAAAGGCUCCUGCUUGCAGGGGUACUCGAGUGGCGAACGGGUGAGUAACACGUGGGUGAUCUGCCCUGCACUUCGGGAUAAGCCUGGGAAACUGGGUCUAAUACCGGAUAGGACGAUGGUUUGGAUGCCAUUGUGGAAAGUUUUUUCGGUGUGGGAUGAGCUCGCGGCCUAUCAGCUUGUUGGUGGGGUAAUGGCCUACCAAGGCGUCGACGGGUAGCCGGCCUGAGAGGGUGUACGGCCACAUUGGGACUGAGAUACGGCCCAGACUCCUACGGGAGGCAGCAGUGGGGAAUAUUGCACAAUGGGCGCAAGCCUGAUGCAGCGACGCCGCGUGGGGGAUGACGGCCUUCGGGUUGUAAACUCCUUUCGCUAGGGACGAAGCGUAAGUGACGGUACCUGGAGAAGAAGCACCGGCUAACUACGUG
RNAcentral lists this ribosomal RNA (466 nucleotides) under uncultured bacterium. RNAcentral's name for it is "partial 16S ribosomal RNA". It matches the Rfam family "Bacterial small subunit ribosomal RNA", at positions 28 to 507 of the family's 1533-position model. The record is from RNAcentral.